Molecule: ribosomal RNA, 468 nt
Filed under: uncultured bacterium
Lineage: Bacteria
Description: partial 16S ribosomal RNA
Rfam family: Bacterial small subunit ribosomal RNA
Source: RNAcentral
GACGAACGCUGGCGGCGUGCUUAACACAUGCAAGUCGAACGGAAAGGCCCUGCUUUUGUGGGGUGCUCGAGUGGCGCACGGGUGAGUAACACGUGAGUAACCUGCCCUUGACUUUGGGAUAACUUCAGGAGACUGGGGCUAUUACCGCAUAGGAGCACCUGCUGCAUGGUGGGGGUUGGAAAGUUUCGGCGGUUGGGGAUGGACUCGCGGCUUAUCAGCUUGUUGGUGGGGUAGUGGCUUAACAAGGCUUUGACGGGUAGCCGGCCUGAGAGGGUGACCGGGCACAAUGGGACUGAGAUGCGGGCCAGAGGGCAACGGGAGGCAGCGGUGGAAAACAUUGCACAAUGGGCGGAAGCCUGAUGCAGCGAUGCCGCGUGCGGGAAGACGGCCUGCGGGUUAGAAACCGCUUUCGCCUGUGACGAAGCGUGAGUGACGGUAAUGGGUAAAGAAGCACCGGCUAACUACGUG